UGGGGAAUAUUGGACAAUGGAGGAAACUCUGAUCCAGCAAUUCUGUGUGUGUGAAGAAGGUUUUAGGACUGUAAAACACUUUUAGUAGGGAAGAAAAAAAUGACGGUACCUACAGAAGAAGCAACGGCUAAAUACGUGCCAGCAGCCGCGGUAAUACGUAUGUUGCGAGCGUUAUCCGGAAUUAUUGGGCUUAAAGGGCAUCUAGGCGGUAAGACAAGUUGAAGGUGAAAACCUGUGGCUCAACCAUAGGCUUGCCUACAAAACUGUUGAACUAGAGUACUGGAAAGGUGGGUGGAACUACACGAGUAGAGGUGAAAUUCGUAGAUAUGUGUAGGAAUGCCGAUGAUGAAGAUAACUCACUGGACAGAAACUGACGCUGAAGUGCGAAAGCUAGGGGAGCAAACAGA
Molecule: ribosomal RNA, 407 nt
Filed under: Verrucomicrobiota bacterium
Lineage: Bacteria; Pseudomonadati; Verrucomicrobiota
Description: Verrucomicrobia bacterium partial 16S ribosomal RNA
Rfam family: Bacterial small subunit ribosomal RNA
Source: RNAcentral